GGAGUAUGACACUCCCCGACGAGCAAGGGAAGUACACUCACUCCCCAGGACGGCUCCGCAGACGCAGACCGAAGCUUAUGGUGGGAGGGUGCAUUCUAGGAAGAGGAAAUGGGGGGAACCCUUGCAGCUGUUCCACCUGAAUAGUGGAGAGAGGUGUGUGGCCACGCUGAAACCUGAAACCAUAACGUAAGAGCCCAAGGGAGACUGGAAACUCUACAGCCAUGAACUAAAAGCAGCGUGUGUCAGCCGCAGAAUCGGAUAACACAACCAAACCACAAAUGUGCCUGCCGCUCAGGCUUUAAAGUUCUACAGCAGAGCAGGACCCACUGUGACUUACUUUGUGUGAUGGAGUCAAACCACAUUUUUUUUCUUCUUUUUCUCAUCAGACUUCACAGGAAAUAUACGUCUUUGUUCAGAUUUGAGAUAAGAUCCUGGAGGCUGAGGUCUAGAUCGGUCGCCAAGGAUGGGAUCCAGGAGAAAACGUGCUGAACGUGCAGCUUGCUCCUACCGAUUACAGCCCAGCAGAUGACAUAGUUCCACUGUGCUCUAGUCCAUUGUGGGAAUUAUGGCCCUCAUGCCCGGCGUCUGUCACAACCCAAUAUUUGGUGUUAUAACCCCUGCUCCCACCCCCCAGCACAUCUCAGAAGUGCCGUUACCCUCUCAGUCACAUCCCAGAAACUGUGUUGCCUUCACGGUUACUCUUGUUUAUGCUUGAGAGCACUCGGAGGCCUUUCCAUAUCUAAAGCCUGCAUUCAGUGCUACCCCCUGCAGGAUUUGGAUACAUUUCCCCGUCUGGUCCUAAUUCUGUUGAAUGACAUCAUUUAUCCGUAUUCCCACCCAGAGAUGGGCAGAUUUCUUGUAACCUGAAUAGAUACCAAAGAAUCCCAAAGGACCUGGGUGGGUACUUCUAUUUAUGGGCUCAUUGGAUCUUAUUCUUUCCUCUCCGCCUGUUUUAAUUCAAAUCGGGGGGACCAUUUGAUUUCUCCAAUAGAAACAGAAAGAAAUUGAAGACAGAGAUGAACACAGAUCAAGAGCCCAGGUUUCUUGAUAUCUAAUACUAAUAUACUGAUGGAGUUAAACAUUCCAAGGUACGAAUGUGUCCAGAAACAGUUUUAACCUUACCCUGGGUUUCCAUCAGUGAAACCAAGUUAACAUCUGGCAAAAGAUAGCGAUCUAGCCUCAGGGGUUUCAGUCAAGUUGCGCUUAAAAGAAUGCCUUAAAAUCUGUAGUUAUGGUGUCAAAUAUAAUAAAUCUUCACCAGCUCAUGCACGUACAAGUCUGAAAUGUUUCAUAAAAGGUUUAGAUGACCUGAUAACAUGUUUCUAAAACCCAGAGAGAAAGAGAGAGACUGAUACAAACGUCAAGUUAAAAACAAGAAAGUAAAAUUAGUUUCAUAGAUUGGGGUUGAUAAGGGGAAUCUCUGUCCUCUAUGCUCUAAUCUUAGCCCACUACCUCCUUUCCUCUAUCUCCUCUGGUGGAUAUGCUUGCUAUCUGUCCUCCCCUCCGACUCUUUGGCUAGCCUUAUAGCCUAUAAUUUCCUUCAGAGAUGUAGUGAAAUUAAAUGAAAUUAAGAGCCUGCUUAAUGCAAACAGGACCAAAGGGCACAGCUCUUUAUCGUAAUGAACUUCAUUCUGAUUAAGUCAGGGACUGCAAGUGCUUACUAUUUACCCAGUAAAUAUAUUAAAUUGCUAGGCUAGUCUCCCUUCUGUCCUGACACUGCCAGGGAAUAUUUGAAAGUCGGAUAUAAGAUCCAUUUUAGACCAUCAAACAUCCCUUCUAAUUCUAUCAUCUCUCUUUAUGUUUCCAGGAAUAUAGCAUGUCUUGGUCUCUGAGAGCCAAUAUAUCUGGGUUACACUGAAAGAGGAAUAACGAGAUAAUAUUUACACUGUACAUUGAAGAUGACCUGAAAAGCUGGAAGAGGUGACUGAGGGCAUUUUCUCAGUGUGGAUGAAGAAGAGGGGAGGAAGGUGAAAGAUGACAGAAUAUCUAAGUGCCUAGAUUUGAUUCUAGCAUAUGAACCCAUUUUAUGAUUCUGUCCAAGGGCAUCAGUUAUAACCUCCAAAUUUCCAUGUCCUUCUCCAUCUCCCAGUCUUAGAAUUUUUUUUUUUUUUUUUUUUUGAGACAGAGUCUUGCUCUGUCACCCAGGCUGGAGUGUAGUGGCAGGAUCUUGGCUCACUGCAACUUCCACCUCUCAGGUUCAAGUGAUUCUCCUGCCUCAGCCUCCCAAGUGGCUGGGAAUACAGGCGCCUGCCACAACGUCUGGCUAAUUUUUGUAUUUUUAGUAGAGACAGGGUUUUGCCGUAUUGGCCAAGCUAGUCUUGAACUCCUGACCUCAAGUGAUCUGCCCACCUUGGCCUCCCAAAGUGCUGCUGGGAUUACAGGCGUGAGCCACCGCGCCUGGCCAGUUCUUUCUUUUUUUUCUUUCUCUCUCCUUUCCCUCCCUCCCUCCUUCCUUCCUUCCUUCCUUCCUUCCUUCCUUCCUUCCUUCCUUCCUUCCUUC
Molecule: long non-coding RNA, 2500 nt
Filed under: Homo sapiens (human)
Lineage: Eukaryota; Metazoa; Chordata; Mammalia; Primates; Hominidae
Description: HSALNT0213241
Source: RNAcentral